UACAGGGGGGGCAAGCGUUGUUCGGAAUUACUGGGCGUAAAGGGCUCGUAGGCGGCCAACUAAGUCAGACGUGAAAUCCCUCGGCUUAACCGGGGAACUGCAUCUGAUACUGGAUGGCUUGAGUUCGGGAGAGGGAUGCGGAAUUCCAGGUGUAGCGGUGAAAUGCGUAGAUAUCAGGAGGAACACCGGUGGCGAAGGCGGGUCUCUGGGCCGAUACUGACGCUGAGGAGCGAAAGCGUGGGGAGCGAACAGG
RNAcentral lists this ribosomal RNA (253 nucleotides) under uncultured bacterium. Its description in RNAcentral is "partial 16S ribosomal RNA". It matches the Rfam family "Bacterial small subunit ribosomal RNA", at positions 524 to 776 of the family's 1533-position model. The record is from RNAcentral.